RNAcentral lists this ribosomal RNA (607 nucleotides) under uncultured bacterium. RNAcentral's name for it is "bacterial SSU rRNA". The stretch from base 1 to 516 matches the Rfam family "Bacterial small subunit ribosomal RNA", at positions 338 to 873 of the family's 1533-position model. The record is from RNAcentral.
CCUACGGGCGGCAGCAGUGGGGAAUCUUGCGCAAUGGGCGAAAGCCUGACGCAGCCAUGCCGCGUGAAUGAUGAAGGUCUUAGGAUUGUAAAAUUCUUUCAGUAGGGACGAUAAUGACGGUACCUACAGAAGAAGCCCCGGCUAACUUCGUGCCAGCAGCCGCGGUAAUACGAAGGGGGCUAGCGUUGCUCGGAAUUACUGGGCGUAAAGGGAGCGUAGGCGGGUUAUCAAGUUGGAGGUGAAAGCCCAGGGCUCAACCUUGGAAUUGCCUUCAAAACUGAUAGCCUAGAGUAUGAUAGAGGUAUGUGGAACUCCGAGUGUAGAGGUGAAAUUCGUAGAUAUUCGGAAGAACACCAGUGGCGAAGGCGACAUACUGGGUCAUGACUGACGCUGAGGCUCGAAAGCGUGGGGAGCAAACAGGAUUAGAUACCCUGGUAGUCCACGCUGUAAACGAUGAUUGCUAGUUGUCGGACGCAUGCCGUUCGGUGACGCAGCUACGACAUAAGACAUACCGCCGUCGGGAGGUACGGUCGCGAAGAAGUUAAAACUAACGAAAGAAGUUAGACGGACGUAGAGACGUGCCGACGGACGACGACGAGGGAGGAGG